Molecule: small nuclear RNA, 179 nt
Filed under: Triticum dicoccoides
Lineage: Eukaryota; Viridiplantae; Streptophyta; Magnoliopsida; Poales; Poaceae
Description: snRNA U2
Rfam family: U2 spliceosomal RNA
About the family: U2 is a small nuclear RNA (snRNA) component of the spliceosome (involved in pre-mRNA splicing). Complementary binding between U2 snRNA (in an area lying towards the 5' end but 3' to hairpin I) and the branchpoint sequence (BPS) of the intron results the bulging out of an unpaired adenosine, on the BPS, which initiates a nucleophilic attack at the intronic 5' splice site, thus starting the first of two transesterification reactions that mediate splicing.
Source: RNAcentral
AUACCUUUCUCGGCCUUUUGGCUAAGAUUAAGUGUAGUAUUUGUUAUUAUCAGUUUAAUAUUUGAUAUUUGAUAUGUGGGUUACAUCCUCACAAUGACAUUAAAUUUAUUUUUUAUGGGAACAUUCUGCACCAGGUGCUCCCUGUACACCACCUUAUCGUACUUGGGAACGCUACCCGU